Molecule: transfer RNA, 89 nt
Filed under: Spirochaetes bacterium RBG_13_68_11
Lineage: Bacteria; Pseudomonadati; Spirochaetota
Description: tRNA-Ser
Rfam family: tRNA
About the family: Transfer RNA (tRNA) molecules are approximately 80 nucleotides in length. Their secondary structure includes four short double-helical elements and three loops (D, anti-codon, and T loops).
Source: RNAcentral
GGAGAGGUGUCCGAGUGGUCGAAGGAGGCGGUCUUGAAAACCGUUGGGCCGCUUCAGCGGUCCCGGGGGUUCGAAUCCCUCCCUCUCCG